This is a long non-coding RNA of Ipomoea nil (Japanese morning glory), 156 nucleotides long. RefSeq lists it as uncharacterized. The transcript has 3 exons. The record is from RefSeq and is a predicted model, not a curated record. Lineage: Eukaryota; Viridiplantae; Streptophyta; Magnoliopsida; Solanales; Convolvulaceae.
UUGAAGAUUUUGAAAACUUCAAAUACAUCCGCCUUCCGCUUGAUUGGAUACACCCAACAUCUCCUGGAGUAGUCGUCUAUGAAGGAUACAAAAUACUUUGCACCUCCUAGGGAUAUAACUGGUGCUUGCCAAACAUCGGAGUGAACCAAUUUUAGA